RNAcentral lists this long non-coding RNA (302 nucleotides) under Hordeum vulgare. RNAcentral describes it as "long non-coding RNA (HVUL_LNC001128)". The record is from RNAcentral. Lineage: Eukaryota; Viridiplantae; Streptophyta; Magnoliopsida; Poales; Poaceae.
UGCUGCUAGCACUCCUCGGCAAUAGAACUAGAAGAAUGUUGUUGAUGGCCCACCAGCGCGUGGAUUCGCAGCAGUUUUCGAGGGUAGAGUAUUCGACCCAAUUUGUUGGUUUACCAGGCAGGAGGUGAGAGAAUACCCUCAUGUAUUAGCAGCUGAAUUUGUCAGAUUCAACCACACCUGAAAGAUUAGUAUCUGCAAGCAUAGUAGUAACAGCAAAGUAGUAUGAUAACAACGGUGUCAGAAACGAUCUGUUGACGGCAGACUAUUCCUAACGAUUGUAUCAAUGGCGCCAAGUUGCCUCG